AGCCGGUCAUUGCAGCGCACGCGCACGCGGAACAGCGUCCACACUGCGUGCCCGCCCGUGCCUCUUUAUUUUGCGCUGAAGAAUGCGGGAGCGCGCGCACGCAGCCGCAGAGCACACGCGCACACAACUGCCGGUCAAGAAACCCAUCCAGCACACAGGUAGUGUGUAAAGCAUACACGCGCGCGCGCACGACUCUCAUCCCUCUCCCCUCUUCCUUAUCCGCUUUACAUAGACAUACACUUGAGAGCUUCGCUGGCGCACUCCGGCAACUCCUCUAGGCGGUUUGUCGAGGCUCUUUUCCGUUUCCUUCCGCACGUCUAUUCUUUGGUUGCUCGUCUCCAUCCCUUUCGCUCACGCGCCCAAUCGUCUGUGCCUCUUUCCCGCUCUGGCACUCGCGCACCGAUGAGCUUCACAGAAGAGUUUGAUGGCGCCAUCGGCAUCGAUCUCGGCACGACGUACUCGUGCGCCGCCGUCUUCGUGCGCGGGCAGGUGGAGGUGAUCCCGAACGACAUGGGCAACCGCACCACACCAUCGUGCGUGGCCUUCUACAACGAUGACGUGCUCGUCGGCGACGCUGCCAAGACGCUGCUCGGUCGCGGCGUCUCUGGCGUUGUGUUCGAUGCGAAGCGCAUGAUUGGCCACCGCUUCAGCGACAAGAGUAUUCAAGAGGACCGCACCCGCUGGCCGUUCCCAAUCUCAGAGGGUGUAAAGGACAGUAUUCAGAUCAACGUGACGCACAAGGGCGAGGAGCUGCAGCUGGCACCGGAGCAGAUCUCUGCCAAGGUGCUAGUCUACUUGAAGGAGUGCGCCGAGCGGUACCUGGGCAAGCAGGUGAAGAAGGCCGUGGUGACGGUGCCGGCGUACUUCAACGAUGCGCAGCGCGAGCGUACCAAGGCGGCGGCAACGAUUGCUGGCCUGGAGGUGCUGCGCAUCAUCAACGAGCCGACGGCGGCGGCGCUGUGCUACGGCCUCGGCGUCGGCAGUGGCACAGGGCAACAGCAGGGCGAGGACCAGCCGCGCAAUGUCGUCGUCUUCGACUUCGGCGGCGGCACGUUUGACGUGUCCGUCAUCGUCAUCGACAGCGGGAGCUUCGCGGUGCAGGCGACCGCCGGCGACACCCACCUGGGCGGGCAGGACAUUGACUCGAACCUUCUCAAGUAUGUGCUGGACGAUUUGCAGUCGCGAUACAACCUCAGCAUCGCUGAGCAGCCGCGUCUGCUCGCGAAGGCCCGCACAGCGUGCGAACGGGUGAAGCGGGUUCUGUCGCAGUCAACCGCCGAGGAACUCGCCCUGGAUGGCGUGCUGCCGAGCGGCGAGGAGUAUACGCUGUCUGUCUCCCGCGCAAAGCUGGAGGAGCUGAACGCGUCUGUAUUUGCGCAGUGCAUGAAGGUGGUGAAGCGCGCCCUGCAGGAUGCAGCGAUGAAGGUGGAAGACGUUCAUGAGGUCGUGCUCGUCGGCGGCAGCUCGCGCAUCCCGAAGCUGCACGACAUGCUUCGCGCCUUUUUCAACAAAGAGAGACUGUGCAACUCGGUGCACCCGGACGAGGCGGUGGCCAUCGGCGCCGCGGUGCAGGCCAGCAUCCUCGCCAACUCGGCUGAGCAACAGUCCGAGAAGACGGCCAACGUCGUGCUCAUGGAUGUGGUGCCGCUGAGCAUCGGCGUAGAGAUCGACGAUGGCAAGUUCGACGUCAUCGUCCCCCGCAAUACGACCAUCCCGUACAAGGCGACGAAGGAGUACAGCACCGUCGAGGAUUACCAGCAAGACGUUGACGUGUGCGUGUACGAGGGAGAGCGGCCGCUGACAAAGCACAACCACAAGCUGGGCGAGUUCACACUCGAGGGCAUCACCCGUGCCAAGAAGGGCAAGCCCACCAUCACGGUGACUUUCUCCAUCGACGCGAACGGCCUUCUCACCAUCACCGGCACGGAGGAGUUGGCCAACAAGAGACACACGCUCGUCGUGCAGAACGCCGACCGGCUCUCCGAGGCGCAGGUGAAGGAGAUGAUCGAUAUGUCGAAAAAGUUUGCCAAGAGCGAUGCUGUGGACGACGCCAGAGAAGCAGCGCGACGGACGGUGCAGGGCGCACUCGAGGCUCUCUCCGCUGCCAUCGCCGCGAUGACGCAGCCGCCGCCGUCACAGCUGCAGAAGCGGCUUGACGCCUUUACUUCGCAUACGCGUGACUGGCUCGAGCGGCAGCUGCCCUCCUACUCGACCGUCACCGAGGUGGAGGAAAAAGCAAAGAAGAUCGCAAAACUUGCCAGGAAAGCGAUGAAGAAGGUGGCGAAGAAAGCGCGCGGCGGUGAGCCAGCCUCGAAGCGCCACCGCGACGAGGGAAACGGCGGCAACGAGUCCUCCAGCGACAGCGACGUAGAAAACGAGGCGGACAAGUGAGGAGGUGUUAGAGUCGCCGUGGCCGUGGCCGGCGCUUCGUAUCUUUUUGCCGCUUCGCCUCAAACACACACACACACACACACACACCUUGUUACUCGCCCGCUUCGGUCUUCUUUGUGUUGUCUCGCUCUCUCGUGCGCGCGUGUAGCAUCUUCCUAUGCCUGUCCCUCUCUCACGCACACGCGCACGCGCAAGUGAACAAGGAUGACAUACGGCAUGUGUCGUCGUCGUAGUCUCUCUUUCUAUGCCCUUCUCACCGAGUCUUGUCAUGUGGAGGUGAAACCGCACAGGUGUGUGGAAGUGUGCACGCGUUGAACCGCUGCCACGGAAAGACCAUCCCCAGCUCCUGUGCCGCCCCUUCUCUCUCUUCGACGUCUCUGCUCACAAGCGUAGAAGCGCAGCACUCCCUUCUCCUCCAUCCUCCCCCAUGCCUCGUUCCUCCCCCCUCCUCACCACAAACUAUGUUGAUGCGCCCGCUCAUAUGAGCAUGCACCAACACCCGCACACGCAUACACGUUGGCUGCGACUCUCUCCAUCUCUCCUCGCAG
This 2939-nucleotide unclassified non-coding RNA is filed under the name Leishmania donovani. RNAcentral's name for it is "gene:LdHU3.28.4060(CDS-product:heat_shock_protein _70_putative)". Lineage: Eukaryota; Euglenozoa; Kinetoplastea; Trypanosomatida; Trypanosomatidae. The record is from RNAcentral.